UAAUUUUAUGCAGCCAACUGAGGCACUAUUUUCAUUUCUGAAUUCUCAAUCAAGCCCUGAGGCAAAAUGAUCCUGUUUCUUAGCAACCCAGAUGGGCAGAGCCAGAUUAUACAUUUGAGCUCUUUUGUACAACAAAAGAAUAAAUAGCUCCCAGAAUAAACAUGUGCUGUGAGUUCAUCUCUUUGCUCAGCGUCCCCUAGCACUGUAGAGAAGAGAAGCCCGGCUGUGUGAUACAACACGUGAAGCUGGGCAGAGAAACCUGACUUUACAGAGUGGGGUUAAAAUACCUGUGAGGAAAAAUCCCAUAAUGCUCACCACUAGCUACAAAGGCAGACAGCCCACCUUCUCUUUUGAAAGACAAAUCAAAUUUUCUGCAUGCCUGGAUUUGGCCUUUGCACAGAAUCAAAGUUUUGUGCAGCAGCUCCGAGCCACCCCGCAGAGAGAUAUAUGGCAAAAGCAGCCUCCUGAUUUUAGCUACAAAUUCUAUAAAUCUUCUAGGCCUUCACGAAAACCACUAGAAAAGGAAAAGGAAGAUUUGAAGAAGGCCAAUAGCACUGAGACUAAGCAACAGCUGCCAAAGAUAAAGACCAGCCAGUUCCACACUGCUUCGGAAAGGAAGAAAGAGUUGCCCAAGAUUGUCACAAGGUUUCCACACGUGGGCUCAUAUGAAGUGGAUAUAAUGUUUGUGGAGAAUGGAAAAUAUAAGACUGGCAUAUACCAAGAUCCCAAACCACAUGAUUUUAGGCAGUAUGAAACUAAUAUACCAGACUUUGUGACAAGUUACUCCAGAGACCCUUUCAAUUUAAAGUUCAAAUCUCAACAUUUAAAUGCAAUUCAUGGACUUCAGCCAUUGAAAGACAAGCAAAAGGACACCAAGGGGAGAUUCAUUACUUACAAGCCUUGUGAAUGCAAAUGGGAAUCCAGGCUAAUUCUGCCAAAGAACCCUUGGCCACCGAAGUCUGCUUCAUUUACGAGACACAGAAGGCGACGUGGUGCCCACACGGCGUUCCUAGAUCGUGUGGAUGAAAAGCUAUGUACAAUAUGGCAGGAGGAAGAGAAGUGA
RNAcentral lists this long non-coding RNA (1063 nucleotides) under Chrysemys picta bellii (western painted turtle). Its description in RNAcentral is "lncRNA (ENSCPBG00000024320.1)". The record is from RNAcentral. Lineage: Eukaryota; Metazoa; Chordata; Testudines; Emydidae.